Molecule: ribosomal RNA, 495 nt
Filed under: uncultured bacterium
Lineage: Bacteria
Description: partial 16S ribosomal RNA
Rfam family: Bacterial small subunit ribosomal RNA
Source: RNAcentral
GAUGAACGCUGGCGGCGUGCCUAAUACAUGCAAGUAGAACGCUGAAGGAGGAGCUUGCUCUUCUGGAUGAGUUGCGAACGGGUGAGUAACGCGUAGGUAACCUGCCUGGUAGCGGGGGAUAACUAUUGGAAACGAUAGCUAAUACCGCAUGACAACAGUUAUUGCAUGAUAACUGUUUAAAAGGGGCAACUGCUCCACUACCAGAUGGACCUGCGUUGUAUUAGCUAGUUGGUGAGGUAACGGCUCACCAAGGCGACGAUACAUAGCCGACCUGAGAGGGGGAUCGGCCACACUGGGACUGAGACACGGCCCAGACUCCUACGGGAGGCAGCAGUAGGGAAUCUUCGGCAAUGGACGGAAGUCUGACCGAGCAACGCCGCGUGAGUGAAGAAGGUUUUCGGAUCGUAAAGCUCUGUUGUAAGAGAAGAACGAGUGUGAGAGUGGAAAGUUCACACUGUGACGGUAUCUUAUCAGAAAGGGACGGCUAACUACGUG